Long non-coding RNA from Physeter macrocephalus (sperm whale), 443 nucleotides. RefSeq lists it as uncharacterized. The transcript is spliced from 3 exons. The record is from RefSeq and is a predicted model, not a curated record. Lineage: Eukaryota; Metazoa; Chordata; Mammalia; Artiodactyla; Physeteridae.
CUUGGGAUCCAGCCUGCUGUCCUUCCCUUCUGAGCUGCCAGCACGGACUCUGAUUUCUUGAGAUUCCCAUCUUCGGAUCAGACACAGUUUCCCCACUUCCUGGUCAUCUGCCCAAACCAAGAGGGUGGCCGUCUGUAAGCCAGGAAGAGGGCCCUCACCAAGAACCGAGUCUCCCGACACCUUGAUCUUAGACUUCCAGCCUCCAGAACCCUUCUCUCUCUCCUCGUCAAGAAGGCUGGAAGCUGCCCUUCCUCACCUGUGGCCAGGUUGGUCCUGCUGGGGCCUCCUGCAGCAUCUCUUGGAAGACCUGCCAGGCAACAUGUGUCAGAGGGUCACAGCCGUCAGAGGCCACCCAGCAAUUAGGCAGCUGCCUUGUCAUGCUCCCUGGGGAGGGUGCUCAGCGACAUGCGCGGGUCGUUCUGUCAUCAGUUUUCUAGAAGCAU